This 500-nucleotide ribosomal RNA is filed under the name uncultured bacterium. RNAcentral describes it as "partial 16S ribosomal RNA". It matches the Rfam family "Bacterial small subunit ribosomal RNA", at positions 30 to 523 of the family's 1533-position model. The record is from RNAcentral.
AUUGAACGCUGGCGGCAGGCCUAACACAUGCAAGUCGAGCGGUAGAGAGAAGCUUGCUUCUCUUGAGAGCGGCGGACGGGUGAGUAAUGCCUAGGAAUCUGCCUGGUAGUGGGGGAUAACGUCCGGAAACGGACGCUAAUACCGCAUACGUCCUACGGGAGAAAGCAGGGGACCCUCGGGCCUUGCGCUAUCAGAUGAGCCUAGGUCGGAUUAGCUAGUUGGUGGGGUAAUGGCUCACCAAGGCGACGAUCCGUAACUGGUCUGAGAGGAUGAUCAGUCACACUGGAACUGAGACACGGUCCAGACUCCUACGGCAGGCAGCAGUGGGGAAUAUUGGACAAUGGGCGAAAGCCUGAUCCAGCCAUGCCGCGUGUGUGAAGAAGGUCUUCGGAUUGUAAAGCACUUUAAGUUGGGAGGAAGGGCAGUAAAUUAAUACUUUGCUGUUUUGACGUUACCGACAGAAUAAGCACCGGCUAACUCUGUGCCAGCCGCCGCCGUAA